Neofelis nebulosa (Clouded leopard) is the source of this 364-nucleotide long non-coding RNA. RefSeq lists it as uncharacterized. The record is from RefSeq and is a predicted model, not a curated record. The transcript is spliced from 2 exons. Lineage: Eukaryota; Metazoa; Chordata; Mammalia; Carnivora; Felidae.
GAUGAAACAUGGGAGGGAUUAAAAGACUAACUCUGUUCCUAAAAGUUGGUGUCCAGAACGAUCUCCUGCAUACUUUCUUUAAAUACAGAUAUCUGAGAACCAUCCCUACCUUAUCCAGCUUCAGGUGAUUCAAAUGCAGUGACUCAAGGACCACAUUUUGAAAAAUAUUGGUCUAAUCAACAAACUCCCAGUACAGAGUAACCACCGUGGCAACGUUGACAUUGCCGUUUAUUGCAGCCAGCGAAGGGGAGGGUGGAGCCCUUUUUCGGACAAUGAAAAUGCUUCACAGAGUUUGGUGAGAACAACACGAGCUCACUUCCCAAAAGAUCUCAAAGUUCAACAAGAUUAUAAGUCCUGAAAAACA